This 1486-nucleotide ribosomal RNA is filed under the name uncultured prokaryote. RNAcentral's name for it is "partial 16S ribosomal RNA". It matches the Rfam family "Bacterial small subunit ribosomal RNA". The record is from RNAcentral.
AGAGUUUGAUCAUGGCUCAGGAUUAACGCUAGCGGCAGGCCUAAUACAUGCAAGUCGAACGGUAACAGGUCCAGCAAUGGAUGCUGGCGACUGGCGAACGGGUGCGUAACGCGUAUGCAACUUACCCUCAACUGGAGAAUAGCCCAGAGAAAUUUGGAUUAAUACUCCAUAGUAUUACGAAGAGGCAUCUCUUUAGGUUUAAAGCUCCGGCGGUUAAGGAUGAGCAUGCGGGACAUUAGUUUGUUGGAGAGGUAAUGGCUCACCAAGACUACGAUGUCUAGGGGAUCUGAGAGGAUUGUCCCCCACACUGGUACUGAGACACGGACCAGACUCCUACGGGAGGCAGCAGUAAGGAAUAUUGGUCAAUGGAGGAAACUCUGAACCAGCCAUGCCGCGUGCAGGAUGACAGCCCUAUGGGUCGUAAACUGCUUUUGUACAGGAAUAAACCCCCGGUUUCGGUUCGGGGCUGACGGUAUCGUAAGAAUAAGGACCGGCUAACUCCGUGCCAGCAGCCGCGGUAAUACGGAGGGUGCAAGCGUUAUCCGGAUUUAUUGGGUUUAAAGGGUGCGCAGGCGGAAUAUUAAGUCAGUGGUGAAAUCCUACAGCUCAACUGUAGAACUGCCAUUGAUACUGAUAUUCUUGAGUAUAGUUGUAGUGGGCGGAAUAUGUCAUGUAGCGGUGAAAUGCUUAGAUAUGACAUAGAACACCGAUCGCGAAGGCAGCUCACUAAACUAUAACUGACGCUCAGGCACGAAAGCGUGGGGAGCAAACAGGAUUAGAUACCCUGGUAGUCCACGCCGUAAACGAUGAUAACUCGAUGUUGGCAAUACACCGUCAGCGUCCAAGCGAAAGCGUUAAGUUAUCCACCUGGGGAGUACGAUCGCAAGGUUGAAACUCAAAGGAAUUGACGGGGGCCCGCACAAGCGGAGGAGCAUGUGGUUUAAUUCGAUGAUACGCGAGGAACCUUACCUGGGCUCAAACGUAGAGUGACCGACUGUGAAAGCAGUCUUCCCUUCGGGGCAGUCUACGAGGUGCUGCAUGGUUGUCGUCAGCUCGUGCCGUGAGGUGUCGGGUUAAGUCCCAUAACGAGCGCAACCCCUAUCUUUAGUUGCCAUCAGGUCAUGCUGGGGACUCUAGAGAAACUGCCCGCGCAAGCGGUGAGGAAGGUGGGGAUGACGUCAAGUCAGCACGGCCCUUACGUCCAGGGCUACACACGUGCUACAAUGGCAGGUACAAUGGGCAGCAACAUGGUGACAUGAAGCUAAUCUCCAAAGCCUGUCUCAGUUCGGAUUGAAGUCUGCAACUCGACUUCAUGAAGCUGGAAUCGCUAGUAAUCGCAUAUCAGCAAUGAUGCGGUGAAUACGUUCCCGGGCCUUGUACACACCGCCCGUCAAACAAUGGAAGCCGGGGGUACCUGAAGUCCGUCACCGAAAGGAGCGGCCUAGGGUAAAACCGAUAACUAGGGCUAAGUCGUAACAAGGUAACC